CCUACGGGAGGCUGCAGUGGGGAAUAUUGGACAAUGGGGGCAACCCUGAUCCAGCCAUGCCGCGUGUGUGAAGAAGGCCCUCGGGUUGUAAAGCACUUUCAGUGAGGAAGAACGCCUGGUGGUUAAUACCCAUCAGGAAAGACAUCACUCACAGAAGAAGCACCGGCUAACUCCGUGCCAGCAGCCGCGGUAAUACGGAGGGUGCGAGCGUUAAUCGGAAUUACUGGGCGUAAAGCGCGCGUAGGUGGCUUGAUAAGCCGGUUGUGAAAGCCCCGGGCUCAACCUGGGAACGGCAUCCGGAACUGUCAAGCUAGAGUGCAGGAGAGGAAGGUAGAAUUCCCGGUGUAGCGGUGGAAUGCGUAGAGAUCGGGAGGAAUACCAGUGGCGAAGGCGGCCUUCUGGACUGACACUGACACUGAGGUGCGAAAGCGUGGGUAGCAAACAGGAUUAGAUACCCUAGUAGUC
This 465-nucleotide ribosomal RNA is filed under the name Vreelandella stevensii. RNAcentral's name for it is "partial 16S ribosomal RNA". It matches the Rfam family "Bacterial small subunit ribosomal RNA", at positions 338 to 795 of the family's 1533-position model. Lineage: Bacteria; Pseudomonadati; Pseudomonadota; Gammaproteobacteria; Oceanospirillales; Halomonadaceae. The record is from RNAcentral.